This 408-nucleotide ribosomal RNA is filed under the name uncultured bacterium. RNAcentral's name for it is "partial 16S ribosomal RNA". It matches the Rfam family "Bacterial small subunit ribosomal RNA", at positions 28 to 526 of the family's 1533-position model. The record is from RNAcentral.
GACGAAUGCUGGCGGCGUGCCUAAUACAUGCAAGUAGAACGCAGUUGCGAACGGGUGAGUAACGCGUAGGUAACCUGCCUUGUAGCGGGGGAUAACUAUUGGAAACGAUAGCUAAUACCGCAUACUACAAGAUGGACCUGCGUUGUAUUAGCUAGUAGGUGAGGUAAUGGCUCACCUAGGAGACGAUACAUAGCCGACCUGAGAGGGUGAGUGGCCAAGCUGGGACCGUGACACGGCCCAGACUCCUACGGGAGGCAGCAGUAGGGAAUCUUCGGCAAUGGGGGCAACCCUGACCGAGCAACGCCGCGUGAGUGAAGAAGGUUUUCGGAUCGUAAAGCUCUGUUGUAAGUCAAGCGGUAGCUUACCAGAAAGGGACGGCUAACUACGUGCCAGCAGCCGCGGUAAUAC